Chroicocephalus ridibundus (black-headed gull) is the source of this 406-nucleotide long non-coding RNA. RefSeq lists it as uncharacterized. The transcript has 3 exons. Lineage: Eukaryota; Metazoa; Chordata; Aves; Charadriiformes; Laridae. The record is from RefSeq and is a predicted model, not a curated record.
UGAAUUCUUAGUGGCUGGAGCGACCAAAUGCAGCUGAUAAAACAGAUAAACUCUGCGUCUGACUUUCAGCCUUGCCAACAGUGGGUGCUGGAGCUACUGAUCAACAGCAAAAGAUGGACAGAAUUUACAUGCUAAAUUUAAGCAAAAUUUCAGCUCAGCCACUGGAUCCUUGUCAAAAUGAUAAGGAAUCGAGGUUUUGAGAUACCUUCUCCAAAUUCACUGGAAAGGAAGUCAUGAAACAUUCAUCGGUGGCAGUUCUUGGUGGUUCCCACCGUCUCGGUGACUCAUGGUGAGCAGUGUCAGCCUUCAGGACCCUGGUCCCCACUCCCCGCAACUGAUGUCUGUUAGCAUCACUCAGGAUACUGUAUCACCUGACAAAACAGCAUCUUCAACGUGCACGAGGAGU